Molecule: ribosomal RNA, 1368 nt
Filed under: uncultured bacterium
Lineage: Bacteria
Description: bacterial SSU rRNA
Rfam family: Bacterial small subunit ribosomal RNA
Source: RNAcentral
GACGAACGCUGGCGGCGUGCCUAAUACAUGCAAGUAGAACGCUGAAGAGAGGAGCUUGCUCUUCUUGGAUGAGUUGCGAACGGGUGAGUAACGCGUAGGUAACCUGCCUUGUAGCGGGGGAUAACUAUUGGAAACGAUAGCUAAUACCGCAUAACAAUGGAUGACACAUGUCAUUUAUUUGAAAGGGGCAAUUGCUCCACUACAAGAUGGACCUGCGUUGUAUUAGCUAGUAGGUGAGGUAACGGCUCACCUAGGCGACGAUACAUAGCCGACCUGAGAGGGUGAUCGGCCACACUGGGACUGAGACACGGCCCAGACUCCUACGGGAGGCAGCAGUAGGGAAUCUUCGGCAAUGGGGGCAACCCUGACCGAGCAACGCCGCGUGAGUGAAGAAGGUUUUCGGAUCGUAAAGCUCUGUUGUAAGUCAAGAACGAGUGUGAGAGUGGAAAGUUCACACUGUGACGGUAGCUUACCAGAAAGGGACGGCUAACUACGUGCCAGCAGCCGCGGUAAUACGUGGGUCCCGAGCGUUGUCCGGAUUUAUUGGGCGUAAAGCGAGCGCAGGCGGUUUGAUAAGUCUGAAGUUAAGGCUGUGGCUCAACCAUAGUUCGCUUUGGAAACUGUCAAACUUGAGUGCAGAAGGGGAGAGUGGAAUUCCAUGUGUAGCGGUGAAAUGCGUAGAUAUAUGGAGGAACACCGGUGGCGAAAGCGGCUCUCUGGUCUGUAACUGACGCUGAGGCUCGAAAGCGUGGGGAGCGAACAGGAUUAGAUACCCUGGUAGUCCACGCCGUAAACGAUGAGUGCUAGGUGUUGGAUCCUUUCCGGGAUUCAGUGCCGCAGCUAACGCAUUAAGCACUCCGCCUGGGGAGUACGACCGCAAGGUUGAAACUCAAAGGAAUUGACGGGGGCCCGCACAAGCGGUGGAGCAUGUGGUUUAAUUCGAAGCAACGCGAAGAACCUUACCAGGUCCUGACAUCCCGAUGCUAUUUCUAGAGAUAGAAAGUUACUUCGGUACAUCGGUGACAGGUGGUGCAUGGUUGUCGUCAGCUCGUGUCGUGAGAUGUUGGGUUAAGUCCCGCAACGAGCGCAACCCCUAUUGUUAGUUGCCAUCAUUCAGUUGGGCACUCUAGCGAGACUGCCGGUAAUAAACCGGAGGAAGGUGGGGAUGACGUCAAAUCAUCAUGCCCCUUAUGACCUGGGCUACACACGUGCUACAAUGGUUGGUACAACGAGUUGCGAGUCGGUGACGGCAAGCUAAUCUCUUAAAGCCAAUCUCAGUUCGGAUUGUAGGCUGCAACUCGCCUACAUGAAGUCGGAAUCGCUAGUAAUCGCGGAUCAGCACGCCGCGGUGAAUAUGUUCCCGGGCCU